This 158-nucleotide ribosomal RNA is filed under the name uncultured Streptococcus sp. RNAcentral's name for it is "partial 16S ribosomal RNA". It matches the Rfam family "Bacterial small subunit ribosomal RNA", at positions 1225 to 1382 of the family's 1533-position model. Lineage: Bacteria; Bacillati; Bacillota; Bacilli; Lactobacillales; Streptococcaceae. The record is from RNAcentral.
CUACAAUGGUCGGUACAACGAGUUGCGAGUCGGUGACGGCGAGCUAAUCUCUUAAAGCCAAUCUCAGUUCGGAUUGUAGGCUGCAACUCGCCUACAUGAAGUCGGAAUCGCUAGUAAUCGCGGAUCAGCACGCCGCGGUGAAUACGUUCCCGGGCCUU